Molecule: non-coding RNA, 876 nt
Filed under: Brasilocerus sp. 2 DTA-2012
Lineage: Eukaryota; Metazoa; Arthropoda; Insecta; Coleoptera; Phengodidae
Source: RNAcentral
UAUAUAAAGUACUUCAAAGCUUUUAAUAAUUUAAAAUAUUUACUGGUAUUUAUCUUAAGAAGGGGUAUUUCUUUGAUAAUUAUUUUUUUUAUUUAUCUUAAGAAGGGGUAUUUCUUUGAUAAUUAUUUUUUUAUUUAUCUUAAGAAGGGGUAUUUCUUUGAUAAUUAUUUUUUUAUUUAUAUUUGCAAUUAAAUUUUUUAAAAUGAAGGCAAAUUUAAUACUUGCAUUUUAUAUUCUAUCAUAAUAUUCCUUUGUAUAGUUGAUAAAAUUUGUGCCAGCAAUUGCGGUUAAACAGAUAGCUAAAGUAAUUUUUUUUUAAUUGUAAUUAGUUUUAUUGUAAAUUAUAUUGAUAUAAGAAUUAUUAAGUGAAAUUUUAAUUUUUAAUUAAUUUUAUUUUAUAUUUUAAAUGAUUUAUUAAAGUUUAAUUUUAAACUAGAAUUAGAUACUCUAUUAUUUUUACUGUAUUUUUUUUUAAAUAAGUAUUAGUUAUUUUCUUUAAAGUUAAAUUUUUUGGCGGUAUUUUAGUCUCUUCAGAGGAACUUGUCCUGUUAUUGAUAGUCCACGUUUAUAUUCACUUUUGUUUUUCUUAAAUAUCGUUGUUUAGGAAUUUUUUUUAAGAAUUUAAAUUUUCAUUUUUUUUUUAUAUAAGUUUAUUUCAGAUCAAGAUUUAGAUGUAUAGGAGUAGAGAUGAGUUACAUUAAAUUUAUUUAUGGUUUUAAUUUUUUAUAAGGUUAGAUAAACUGGAUUUGUUAGUAAUUUAUAAAUUUUAUUAUUUUUGAUUUGUAGCUCUAGAAUAUGUACAUAUUGCCCGUCACUUUCAUUAAAAUGAAAAAAGUCGUAACAUAGUAGAUGUACUGGAAAGUGUAUCUAGAAAGA